Fimbriiglobus ruber is the source of this 46-nucleotide small RNA. It matches the Rfam family "Acido-Lenti-1 RNA". NCBI's taxonomy places the organism in Bacteria, Pseudomonadati, Planctomycetota, Planctomycetia, Gemmatales, Gemmataceae. The record is from Rfam.
CCCAGGGCUCACGACCUGGGCUAAUCUCUGCCGCCCCUUCGGCGCU